This is a long non-coding RNA of Homo sapiens (human), 897 nucleotides long. NCBI's taxonomy places the organism in Eukaryota, Metazoa, Chordata, Mammalia, Primates, Hominidae. The record is from Ensembl.
GUGUAGAUUUAGCUACACCCAUUUGAUGUGCUUCUUAGUCUCGUUUAACUUGCCGAUUCAUAUAUCCCUGUCUCAUUUGUUCUUAGAUUUGUCACGAAGCCUCUGGUUUUUGGCUUGUCCUGGUUUGAACUUGGUGUAUCUGGCUCUUGACUCAUUUUCUGACCUCAGACCAUCCUUAAAUCUGCUUUUCUACUUUGUACCAGGCUUUGGCGUCUCCAAGUACCUGACCUCAGCUCAACCUGUCUUGGGUUUUCUUCUCCUCCCUGACAUUGACAACCCAGCCCUCCUAGGCACAGAGAGAUGGAGCUGAGUGUGGUUUUCCUGAAAUAAAGCUUGCAUUAUGAGAGGGAAUAAACAGAAGAAAAAAAUAGGAAAUUGACCAUUGCUUCCAGACAUGUGUGGGAGUCCAGAACAUGCCACUCCAAAAGGAGGAUUGUCGAGCUGAAGACAAUUAAGAAGAAACAGAUGCAGGAAAGCUCUCUGCCCUCCAUUUGCUUAAAUGCAGGACAGAGAUUUACAAGAUAAAAGACAUCCUGCCCCUGUCUUUUACCAGGGAGAACAAAGGUUAACCACUGAAGACAGUUUUAGACCAUUAUCUGCCAGGAGUAGGAGCCAGAGGAAUCUACCUGAACAUGCUUUACCAACUCGCUUUUAUCUGCCGGUUACUUGCUUCCCCGCAGAGAAGUCCCCUCUAGAGACCCAAAGUCCUUUUCCUUUGUCCUGUCACUUCUCUAAAAAUCACUAUUCUUUGUUGAAGAUGCUAUACAAGCUGGAAUUCAAAGCUAUUUCUUUGAGAACUACUCCUUCCCUGGGUGUCUGCCAUGAGAACUACUCCUUUCCUGGGUGUCUGCCAUGUAGAUGUGAAAUAUACAUGUAAAUAAACUUGUUUUUCUCGUG